RNAcentral lists this ribosomal RNA (809 nucleotides) under uncultured bacterium. Its description in RNAcentral is "bacterial SSU rRNA". It matches the Rfam family "Bacterial small subunit ribosomal RNA", at positions 8 to 806 of the family's 1533-position model. The record is from RNAcentral.
AGAGUUUGAUCCUGGCUCAGGAUGAACGCUGGCGGCAGGCUUAAUACAUGCAAGUCGGACGGUAACGCGCUGGUAGCAAUACCGGUGGCGACGAGUGGCGCACGGGUGCGUAACGCGUAUGCAACCUACCCAUAACAGGGACAAAACGUUGAGAAAUCGGCGCUAAUAUCCCAUGUGGAUGACUCCGGGCAUCCGGAGUCAUUUAAAGGCGCGAGCUGGUUAUGGAUGGGCAUGCGUAUCAUUAGCUGGUUGGCGGGGUGACGGCCCACCAAGGCGACGAUGAUUAGGGGUUCUGAGAGGAUGGUCCCCCACACUGGAACUGAGACACGGUCCAGACUCCUACGGGAGGCAGCAGUAGGGAAUAUUGGGCAAUGGUCGGAAGACUGACCCAGCCAUGCCGCGUGAAGGAAUACGGCCCUAUGGGUCUUAAACUUCUUUUAUCGCAGAGUAACCGCGGGGACGCGUCCCCGCCUGCAAGUAUGCGAUGAAUAAGUAUCGGCUAACUCCGUGCCAGCAGCCGCGGUAAUACGGAGGAUACGAGCGUUAUCCGGAUUUAUUGGGUUUAAAGGGUGCGCAGGCGGGCCGGUAAGUCAUGGGUGAAAAGCUGCAGCUUAACUGUAGUCGUGCCUAUGAUACUGCCGGACUGGAGUUGAAGGGGUGUAACUGGAAUGUGAUGUGUAGCGGUGAAAUGCAUAGAUAUGUCACAGAACGCCGAUCGUGAAGACAGGUUACAAACUUCAUACUGACGCUCAUGCACGAAAGCGUGGGUAUCAAACAGGAUUAGAUACCCUGGUAGUCCACGCUGUAAA